Molecule: ribosomal RNA, 415 nt
Filed under: Magallana gigas (Pacific oyster)
Lineage: Eukaryota; Metazoa; Mollusca; Bivalvia; Ostreida; Ostreidae
Description: partial large subunit ribosomal RNA
Rfam family: Bacterial large subunit ribosomal RNA
Source: RNAcentral
GAGGGUGCUAAGGUAGCGAAAUUCCUUGCCUUUUGAUUGUGGGCCUGCAUGAAUGGUUUAACGAGGGUUUGACUGUCUCUAAAUUUUUUAUUGAAAUUGUACUGAAGGUGAAGAUACCUUCAUUUAAAAGUUAGACAAAAAGACCCCGUGCAACUUUGAAAAUUAACUUUAUUCAGGAGUAAAAGAUUUUUAGGUGGGGCGCCUAGAAAGCAAGUCUAACCUUUCUGAAUAACUAACUCUUUCCGGAUUUGACCCGAUUAUAUUCGAUCAUAGGAGAAGUUACGCCGGGGAUAACAGGCUAAUCCUUUAGUAGAGUUCGUAUUGGCUAAAGGGAUUGGCACCUCGAUGUUGAAUCAGGGAUAAUAGCUUCAAGGCGUAGAGGCUUUGAAAGUAGGUCUGUUCGACCUUUAAUACC